GGGACAGCCUCGGGAAACCGUGGGUAAUACCGGAUACUCCGGGACGGCCGCAUGGCCGGCCCGGGAAAGCCCAGACGGGAGGGGAUGGGCCCGCGGCCUGUUAGCUAGUCGGCGGGGUAACGGCCCACCGAGGCGAUUAUGGGUAGCCGGGUUGAGAGACCGACCGGCCAGAUUGGGACUGAGACACGGCCCAGACUCCUACGGGAGGCAGCAGUGGGGAAUCUUGCGCAAUGGGCGGAAGCCUGACGCAGCGACGCCGCGUGCGGGACGAAGGCCUUCGGGUCGUAAACCGCUUUCAGCAGGGACGAGGCCCUCACGGUGACGGUACCUGCAGAAGAAGCCCCGGCUAACUACGUGCCAGCAGCCGCGGUAAUACGUAGGGGGCGAGCGUUAUCCGGAUUCAUUGGGCGUAAAGCGCGCGUAGGCGGCCUGUUAGGUCGGGGGUCAAAUACCGGGGCUCAACCCCGGUCCGCCCCCGAUACCGGCAGGCUUGAGUCUGGUAGGGGAAGGCGGAAUUCCCAGUGUAGCGGUGGAAUGCGCAGAUAUUGGGAAGAACACCGGCGGCGAAGGCGGCCUUCUGGGCCACGACUGACGCUGAGGCGCGAAAGCUAGGGGAGCGAACAGGAUUAGAUACCCUGGUAGUCCUAGCCGUAAAC
Molecule: ribosomal RNA, 656 nt
Filed under: uncultured bacterium
Lineage: Bacteria
Description: bacterial SSU rRNA
Rfam family: Bacterial small subunit ribosomal RNA
Source: RNAcentral